UAUCUCUGUAGAGUCUGCAUAUCAAUAAGCGGAGGAAAAGAAACUAACUAGGAUUCCCUUAGUAACGGCGAGUGAAGCGGGAAGAGCUCAAAUUUGAAAUCUUCAAGGUUUUACCUUGACGAAUUGUAGUUUAAAGAAGUGUUUUCUGUUGGAGUUUUGGUAAAAGUUCUUUGGAAUAGGACAUCAUAGAGGGUGAGAAUCCCGUAUUUGACCAUUAUUUCCAGCUUUGUGAUACACUUUCAAAGAGUCGGAUUGUUUGGGAAUGCAGUCCAAAAUGGGUGGUAAAUUUCAUCUAAAGCUAAAUAUUGGCGAGAGACCGAUAGCGAACAAGUACCGUGAGGGAAAGAUGAAAAGAACUUUGAAAAGAGAGUUAAACAGUACGUGAAAUUGUCAAAAGGGAAGCGUUUGACACCAGUGUUGUUUUUCUGAAAAUCAAUUAAAGAACUGUUUAUGCUAAGCUGUUUAGACUUUAUCAGCUAAUCUGUUUAGUUUUGAGCUUUUCUUUAAUGCACUUUUCAGUUAACAAGUCAACAUCAAUUUCUUUUGCUGUAAAAAAGCUUGAGGAAGGUGGCUUGAGAUUCGUCUUAAGUGUUUAUAGCCUCUUGCCUAUGCAGUCGGAGAGAUUGAGGUCUGCAGCGUAGACCCUUCGGGGCUAAAUGCAUUUGUGCUAAGUUAUAGCAUUUUAUAGACAACUUGUUGACUAUGAUUUGUCUUGUAGCUUACUCGCUUAUGUUAUUUUACCUACGCUUAGGAUGUUGACGAUCAGCUGAGCGCG
Molecule: ribosomal RNA, 775 nt
Filed under: uncultured Neocallimastigales
Lineage: Eukaryota; Fungi; Neocallimastigomycota; Neocallimastigomycetes; Neocallimastigales
Description: partial large subunit ribosomal RNA
Rfam family: Eukaryotic large subunit ribosomal RNA
Source: RNAcentral